RNAcentral lists this transfer RNA (71 nucleotides) under Caudoviricetes sp. RNAcentral describes it as "tRNA-Gln". It matches the Rfam family "tRNA". Rfam says of the family: Transfer RNA (tRNA) molecules are approximately 80 nucleotides in length. Lineage: Duplodnaviria; Heunggongvirae; Uroviricota; Caudoviricetes. The record is from RNAcentral.
UGGGAUGUAGUCUAAUGGUAGGACAACAGACUUUGACUCUGUAUGUAAUGGUUCGAUUCCAUUCAUCCCAG